AUACGGAAGGUCCGGGCGUUAUCCGGAUUUAUUGGGUUUAAAGGGAGCGCAGGCGGAGAUGCAAGCGUGACGUCAAAUUUCGGGGCUCAACCCCGUCUCGCGUCGCGAACUGCGUCCCUUGGUUGCGGGAAGGGGAGGCGGAACUCGUGGUGUAGCGGUGAAAUGCAUAGAUAUCACGAAGAACUCCGAUCGCGAAGGCAGCCUUCCGGCCCGUCAACGACGCUCAUGCUCGAAGGUGCGGGUAUCAAACAGGAUUAGAUACCGUGGUAGUACGCGCAGUAAACGAGGGACACCCGCGGUUUGGCCUGUAUGGCUGAGCCGCCAAGCGAAAGCGUUAAGUGUCCCCCCUGGGGAGUACGCCGGCAACGGUGAAACGCAAAUGAAUUGACGGGG
This 393-nucleotide ribosomal RNA is filed under the name uncultured bacterium. Its description in RNAcentral is "partial 16S ribosomal RNA". It matches the Rfam family "Bacterial small subunit ribosomal RNA", at positions 523 to 918 of the family's 1533-position model. The record is from RNAcentral.